GGAGGAAUUCCCGAGUGGCCAAAGGGGGCAGACUGUAAAUCUGUUGCGUUAGCUUCGAUGGUUCGAAUCCAUCUUCCUCCACCA
This 84-nucleotide transfer RNA is filed under the name Clostridium sp. RNAcentral's name for it is "tRNA-Tyr". It matches the Rfam family "tRNA". From Rfam's summary of the family: Transfer RNA (tRNA) molecules are approximately 80 nucleotides in length. Their secondary structure includes four short double-helical elements and three loops (D, anti-codon, and T loops). Further hydrogen bonds mediate the characteristic L-shaped molecular structure. tRNAs have two regions of fundamental functional importance: the anti-codon, which is responsible for specific mRNA codon recognition, and the 3' end, to which the tRNAs corresponding amino acid is attached (by aminoacyl-tRNA synthetases). tRNAs cope with the degeneracy of the genetic code in two manners: having more than one tRNA (with a specific anti-codon) for a particular amino acid; and 'wobble' base-pairing, i.e. permitting non-standard base-pairing at the 3rd anti-codon position. The record is from RNAcentral. Lineage: Bacteria; Bacillati; Bacillota; Clostridia; Eubacteriales; Clostridiaceae.